AAGGAAUAUUGCUAAAUGGGAGAAAUCCUGAAGCAGCAACGCCGCGUGGAGGAUGAAGGGUCUAUGACUUGUAAACUCCUGUAAAGAAGGAAAAAAUUCCCACUUGAUGGGAGAGGAUGGUACGUCUGGAGUAAGCCCCGGCUAACUACGUGCCCGCAGCCGCGGUAAUAAGUAGGGGGCAAGCGUUGUCCGGAUUUACUGGGUGUAAAGGGUGCUCAGGCGGAUUUGUAAGUCAGAGGUGAAAUCUUACAGCUUAACUGUGAAACUGCCUGUGAUACUGCAAGCCGAGGGUAUGGAAGAGCGUGAUGGAAUAUCUGGUGUGGCAGUCCAAUGCGUAGAUAUCAGAGAGAAGACCAACGGCGAAGGCAGUCACUUGGUCCAUUACGAACGCUAAAGCACGAAAGCGUGGGUAGCA
This 415-nucleotide ribosomal RNA is filed under the name uncultured bacterium. Its description in RNAcentral is "bacterial SSU rRNA". It matches the Rfam family "Bacterial small subunit ribosomal RNA", at positions 356 to 770 of the family's 1533-position model. The record is from RNAcentral.